GAAUUUUGAGUGGUUUGGAGCUGGUAGCCCAGUUCUUCUUCUUGCCAAAAUAUUUUUUGGGAGAAUUCCUCCAACAUUGGCAAAUUUAUCAAAAUUGGAUGUGUUGAUCAAGGAUGGAUGUGGGACUGCUACCGCACAAGUCAAAAUACUAAAUUCGAUUGAGAAUAAAUUUAUCAUCUCCACCAAGUAUAGUGUUGAAGGGCCUCUUCGUAUGAAAGAAGAGUAUGUUGAAGGGGAAUUUGAAUCUCCAAAAGUCGAUGAGGAAGCUGUACCUGAACAACUAAGAGGUGCUUUUGGCCAGGCAUUUAAUACUCUGCAACAACUUCCUGUCCCCAUUAGAGAUGCUGUGUCCAGUGG
RNAcentral lists this unclassified non-coding RNA (357 nucleotides) under Hevea brasiliensis (rubber tree). The record is from RNAcentral. Lineage: Eukaryota; Viridiplantae; Streptophyta; Magnoliopsida; Malpighiales; Euphorbiaceae.